GGAUGACAUGGGGGUGAGUAAAUUAUCAGGAAAAUUUUAUAUGAAAGUGAACUAAUCCUUUAAUGUAAUAAACAUCAUACAAUAGUGAAAUAGGUUAUAAUUAGUCAAGACAUCACGAUGAUAACUUUUGAUCAGGUAUUACCGCCUGGGUCCUAAAGGAUUCCUGGGGGGGACUCGAUUUCUCAUGACACGGCCAGUGUGCCAAUAUGACGCUGACAUCUCAAAUCUCGAGUCUGUGCAUAGUGAACUUGAAGCCCGAAUCUGCGCAGGAAUGGAGCCGCGGUAUCAAGGUCCCGCCCACACUCCUGCAGAAUCGGUUAAUACUGCUCAUUAUGUCGGUGUGAAAUAAAUAGUUCUGGAAAUGUCGAAAUUACAGCUCCAAUCUCUUCCCGAAGAUCCAGAAAAAAGUCUGUGUGCUUCAGUGACUACUUCCCUCAGAGAAGCUGUCAAUCAUGACUUAAAAACCCACGUUUUUAUAUCAUCAAAUAACUAGCUAAAAACAAACUUAUUUAAAGAACAAACACUUUAACAUCAGCGUGAUAAAAACUGCCUAAAAUGACAGAAACCGUCUUUGGAAAAAAAAUAUUUGACAUCUAAUUUGACUGUUUAGUUUGUCUCACGUCCCAUUACAUUACAUGGAGAGGGCGGGGUUUAUGACCUAUACUGCAUCCAGCCACCUGGGGGCGAUCGAGACGCUUUGGCUUCACUUUUCAGGACUCGUGUGGCACGCUUGAGUUUAGACAUAUGGCAGCUCUUCUGUCAAAUGUCUCCAUGUAGCAGUUACAUGAAUAAAACAUUCAUGCUGUUGUAUCUUCAGAUGAAUCUGAUUGUUCUGAGAGAAAAUGAUGCAUGAUCGUGGUAUUCCCUUAUCAUGAAUCAAGUCUUCCAAACCUGCAGGAAACAUGCUCAACGAGAAAUGUGAGCCGAAGGCCGUACGUGCGUCUCAUGGGAACGGCUGCAGAUAAUAGUCAGUGCAUGAUCUCCAUGGUGUCAGCAGACACGUGUUUACUCAUUACGCCCAUAAGAUAGAGACUUUCCAUACCGACAGUUAAUGCAGCGAGAGCCAUCGAGAGCAGUCCCAGAAUGCAUUUCACUUUUUAUUCCUAUUUGCACCUGCAAAUACAUUGAAUUAGGCUAAAUGUGACAUUUUGAAGUAGAAAAACUGAAAUAGUAUUUGUUUUAUUCACAACAAAUUUGGUAACACUUGAAGCCUUUAUGUAUGCUGCAUUAUAAAUGGACUUUAUAAUGCAUUAUAUCUUGUAACUAAAGUUAAAAUGCAUUAUAAUAUUUGCAGAUUCCUUGUUACAUCUAAUAUUGGUUGUUUUUCAUGUGUUUUAAUGCAUUAUACUUCCUAAAGGUGUUACAAUGACUAGAUAAGUAUUAUAACUGUGGUUACAAUUAUUCAUGAGAUCAUACAAAGCAUUAUAAUGUGCAUUACAAGGCAUAAUUAAUGCAUUAAAAAUACUUUUAUAGUGCAUUAUAUAUAUCUAUACAGGCUUUAAGUAAAGUGUAAUAGCGAUGACUGAGUAAUCAACCACCACUUACUAGCUAAAUAAAAAGCCAUCAUGACGCAUCAGUCUCUCAUGGAAAAACUCAGCAAGGCCUGAAAAUAUAGCGAGAACAUGAUCAUUUUAGAGACUCUUAGUACGGCAUUAUAGGAAUCGCUCUGCACUUCAUAGAAUGAAUCUCUUGUAGAAAGCUCUCCAGAUAAUUCUCCAUCCCCUCACAAGCUCUGUUUAUGCCUGGUAAGUACCCAAGAGAGAGUGUGUGAGGGUCUCUGUGGUAUAUUGCUCUGUCAAUGUGCCCUACUUGCAGGUACACAUGACUAGGAUGAAGUCGCUGACAAACACGAGAAAGAGAUGACGACUUUGUCAUCAUUUAUUGUCGCCCUUUACCUUCUAGGAUUCUCUUGUUCUUCACGGAGCGAGAGUUGUGUCGGUAAGUGUUCUGAGACCGGGCUCAAUUAGAGACAGGUAGUCAAUAUUUCAUCGCGUACACGUGUGUGUGUGUGUGUUUGCGUCCUCAGCAGGUAACGUCAGUUUGUCGGUGUCUGUCAGCAAUAACUCCACUCUGCUGGUUGAGUGGAACAGCGGGAGCAAACAGACGACCCAAUGUGCACUGCUCAUUUCAACUGAAGGAAGACAGGAGAUUCAGAUACACCUUGUACCAAGGUCCGGAUCUCUCCUACUGGAAAACAUGACAGACACUCUCAAACACUUUUUCUUGUGCUCCUGUUUCGAACAGUCUCAGGGACUCUUGUGCUCUAAGAACAUAAGCUUUGUCAUGGGUGCCGUUACCACACCAGCUCUGGUCCUGAUGUCAGAUACUCAGAACUCUGCCAGUUACAUCAGCAUGAAGUGGUUGAGUAGCGGUGUGUUUGGAACGACUUUAGCUACAUGUGUCAUUCUUCUAGUCUACAUUAUAUACAGAAGAUGGACGGGGAACGGCGUCUUCCGACUGCGUCUGAGAUAGAGAAAGACUCUUCUGGAAAUUCAAUAGCCUAGUUAAAAGAAGAGACAUUUUACUCCCACUGACAUUUCAUUCAAUCUCAAGUAUAUUGAUUUUGUAUUAACUAAACUGCAGCAGACCUUGGACAGAGUGAGCGCCAUAUUUAAUGUGAUGUGAAUGAAAACGAGGACAGAAGUACAGUUGUGCAUGUCGAUCAUUCAUCCACGAAAAGUCUUUAUUAAACAGACAUCUACUUUCAUUCAUGUCAAAUUAGAAAUAUUUUGACACACGAAUUUGAAUGACAGUUGAGAAUGUUUAUGUUUUCUGUCAUUACAAGUGAUAUACAUUUCUGUUUAAACCUUUAUAUUGUAUGUAAUGUUCAUAGGAAACAAAAAACAUUUUGAUGUCAUGCUGUGAAAGUAACAUUUAGGGUAUAAAACAUCUUUUGUCUCAUACGAAAACACAACUGCUGAAUGUGUAACUCUAACCUUGAGGUUUGUUUUUUCUGAAAAUGCUUUCUAAACUAUUAGAUCAGCCUGUUUUUAUUCUUGCAAACAAAUCAAGGUACCAAAACAACAGUCGUGCACAUGCACUAAGUUGCUGGCCAAAAGAGAACAUUAGCUAGCAUAGAAACGUGGUUGUUAACUGUCAUAGAUUCAGAAGCACAUUACAGUAGGCCUAAUUUUUUAUUAAAAAAAAGAUAAAAGAUCAGUUUUUGCAGCCGCACGCCUCUCACCUGGCAGAUCAAAAGCUGCUAAUGAAGGCUCUCAGCUCAAAGAAGGGCUCUUAAAGCAAGUGCUCAGACAGGAUGUGCUUUAAACACAAUGCUGGAAUUACCAUCCAGGCCACCAUUACAAACAAACAGUGUUUAAGUUAUGGACAAUAGAAAAGAGUAUAGUAGUACAUGUCAAGGAUAAUGUUCAGUCAGACAGUCAUUAUGGUUAAAUAAA
Long non-coding RNA from Ctenopharyngodon idella (grass carp), 3398 nucleotides. RefSeq lists it as uncharacterized. Lineage: Eukaryota; Metazoa; Chordata; Actinopteri; Cypriniformes; Xenocyprididae. The transcript is spliced from 4 exons. The record is from RefSeq and is a predicted model, not a curated record.